Molecule: long non-coding RNA, 1396 nt
Organism: Herpailurus yagouaroundi (jaguarundi)
Lineage: Eukaryota; Metazoa; Chordata; Mammalia; Carnivora; Felidae
Exons: 3
Source: RefSeq, a predicted model, not a curated record
UAGGGGAUCAGGCUCCAGGAGGGGAAGAGGAGCGCCUGUGUUUUAGGAGCAGGGGCCUGGUUCGGCAGUGUGAGUGAGACCCAUGGUUCCCAUUGUACAGAUGGGAAGACUGAGACCUCGGAAGGCACCUACUCAAGAAGCGGGAAGCCCAUUCAUUCCAGGUGGGCCCAGGGAAGGUGGGGACAUACGGACACGUCAGGCAGAGUGGGAUGGUGAUGGGGCGUCCAUCGGGGGACAGGCACAGGCCCCAGGCCUCCCACCUCAGUGCUUAUGUUUUCUAGACCUUUGAGUGAGUGGAAGGCAGUUUCAGUGCUUGGGCUGGGGAUGAGCUGUGCUUUUGGCACAGAGUUCUUAAAUUCUCUUUGCUUUAGGGUUUGGGCUGCUGGGGAGAGCUGCUCGUGCCUCCCGGUGAGGCGGAGGUGGGAGAGCCUCGGCACACAGUGGAAACACACCUGGAUUUUUAAGCCCAUGCCUGCUGCGUGGCGUUGGGCAAGCCCCCUAGUAUCCGGGGGGACUCAGUUUCCUCAUCCGUACAAUGGGAUUCCCAGUCCCGGCUCCCUCAGCCUGUUCCCCAAAUGAGGGGAGGCUCGAAUGGGAUGGCAUGCUCUGGGAGGUGUGCAGUGUGUCACAAGCACGGCCACAGGUGACAGGGGUCAGCAGAGGAAAGCCUUGAGGUUAGAGCUGAUAGAGGGAUAGACAGAUGGAGAGAGAAGCCUGGAGAGAUCAAAGAAUCCCAGAGACAGAGAGAGAGGGAGAGACAAAGAGCGAUCACACAGAAACAAAGAGAGAGGGACAGAGAUGGACAUGGGCAGGAGGUGUAGACCCAGGAAAAAAGAGUCAGGCAAACUGCGUCAGGCUGUGACUUCCUGGAGCCCCGAUGGUGUUUUCCUGGCCAGCGGACAGCGUGGCAGGCUGGGGGCUGCCCUUUAGCCUGGACUCUCUCUCCAUCCAGGCCAAGAAGUUCCCCGGGGCUUCUCUCUGGCCUGGAGGUUCCCGCCUGGUCACCCUCUGCUUUUCUGUCGCACAGGGAAGCCUGAGCUGGCUGCCAGCCCCUUCCUCCCCCAUCCCCCAGCGCCCGGGACCGGCUGGUGCUGCUACACUCGGGUCUCCCGCUCCAGGAGCAGCCACGGCAGGUCCCCAAGGGCCUGGAGACAACAAAUGACUCCCCGCUGACGGGUUGCUCGCUGCCUCCUGCCUGCGAGCCCGUUCGGCUGCACACCGCACGCAGAUAAUCAUUUGUAUAUCCAGCUGGCGGAUGCAGAAGGAGGAAGAGGAGAAAGAUGAGAUGUUGGCCAGCCCUGAAGAGUGGGUGUCCUACCUGGCGAGAGAGCACAAGACACUGAUUGCUAAAGAGAGAGAGACAGAGCGCGAGCAGGGGAGGAGCACAGGGAGAGGG